GGCCGCCUGACACUCUUUCCCUGUUGCACUACUGUGCCAGUGAAUAAAGCAGUGCAAUGAUGAAAGGGCAUCAGUCUGGAG
Molecule: non-coding RNA, 81 nt
Organism: Xenopus laevis (African clawed frog)
Lineage: Eukaryota; Metazoa; Chordata; Amphibia; Anura; Pipidae
Source: Rfam